Molecule: ribosomal RNA, 253 nt
Filed under: uncultured bacterium
Lineage: Bacteria
Description: partial 16S ribosomal RNA
Rfam family: Bacterial small subunit ribosomal RNA
Source: RNAcentral
UACGAAGGGGGCUAGCGUUGCUCGGAAUGACUGGGCGUAAAGGGCGCGUAGGCGGUUUGUCCAGUCAGAUGUGAAAUUCCUGGGCUCAACCUGGGGGCUGCAUUUGAUACGUGCGGACUUGAGUGAGGAAGAGGGUCGUGGAAUUCCCAGUGUAGAGGUGAAACUCGUAGAUAUUGGGAAGAACACCGGUGGCGAAGGCGGCGACCUGGUCCUUGACUGACGCUGAGGCGCGAAAGCGUGGGGAGCAAACAGG